AAUAGAUACCCUGGUAGUCCACGCCGUAAACGAUGAGUGCUAAGUGUUAGAGGGUUUCCGCCCUUUAGUGCUAAAGUUAACGCAUUAAGCACUCCGCCUGGGGAGUACGGCCGCAAGGCUGAAACUCAAAGGAAUUGACGGGGGCCCGCACAAGCGGUGGAGCAUGUGGUUUAACUCGAAGCAACGCGAAGAACCUUACCAGGUCUUGGCAUCCUCUGACAACCCUAGAGAUAGGGCUUCUCCUUCGGGAGCAGAGUGACAGGUGGUGCAUGGUUGUCGUCAACUCGUGUCGUGAGAUGUUGGGUUAAGUCCCGCAACGAGCGCAACCCUUGAUCUUAGUUGCCAUCAUUAAGUUGGGCACUCUAAGGUGACUGCCGGUGACAAACCGGAGGAAGGUGGGGAUGACGUCAAAUCAUCAUGCCCCUUAUGACCUGGGCUACACACGUGCUACAAUGGACGGUACAAAGAGCUGCAAGACCGCGAGGUGGAGCUAAUCUCAUAAAACCGUUCUCAGUUCGGAUUGUAGGCUGCAACUCG
Molecule: ribosomal RNA, 537 nt
Filed under: uncultured bacterium
Lineage: Bacteria
Description: bacterial SSU rRNA
Rfam family: Bacterial small subunit ribosomal RNA
Source: RNAcentral